UACGUAGGUGGCAAGCGUUGUCCGGAUUUACUGGGCGUAAAGAGCGCGCAGGCGGUCGUCCAAGUCGCGUGUGAAAGCCCCCGGCUCAACUGGGGAGGGUCACGCGAUACUGGUCGACUCGAAGGCAGGAGAGGGUAGUGGAAUUCCCGGUGUAGUGGUGAAAUGCGUAGAUAUCAGGAGGAACACCUAUUGCGAAGGCAGCUCGCUGGGACGUAACUGACGCUGAGACGCGAAAGCGUGGGGAGCAAACAGG
RNAcentral lists this ribosomal RNA (253 nucleotides) under uncultured bacterium. Its description in RNAcentral is "partial 16S ribosomal RNA". It matches the Rfam family "Bacterial small subunit ribosomal RNA", at positions 524 to 776 of the family's 1533-position model. The record is from RNAcentral.